RNAcentral lists this ribosomal RNA (2900 nucleotides) under Klebsiella pneumoniae. RNAcentral describes it as "bacterial LSU rRNA". It matches the Rfam family "Bacterial large subunit ribosomal RNA". The record is from RNAcentral. Lineage: Bacteria; Pseudomonadati; Pseudomonadota; Gammaproteobacteria; Enterobacterales; Enterobacteriaceae.
UUAAGCGACUAAGCGUACACGGUGGAUGCCCUGGCAGUCAGAGGCGAUGAAGGACGUGCUAAUCUGCGAAAAGCGUCGGUAAGGUGAUAUGAACCGUUAUAACCGGCGAUGUCCGAAUGGGGAAACCCAGUGCAAUUCGUUGCACUAUCGUUAACUGAAUACAUAGGUUAACGAGGCGAACCGGGGGAACUGAAACAUCUAAGUACCCCGAGGAAAAGAAAUCAACCGAGAUUCCCCCAGUAGCGGCGAGCGAACGGGGAGCAGCCCAGAGUCUGAAUCAGCUUGUGUGUUAGUGGAACGGUCUGGAAAGUCCGACGGUACAGGGUGAUAGUCCCGUACACCAAAAUGCACAGGCUGUGAACUCGAAGAGUAGGGCGGGACACGUGGUAUCCUGUCUGAAUAUGGGGGGACCAUCCUCCAAGGCUAAAUACUCCUGACUGACCGAUAGUGAACCAGUACCGUGAGGGAAAGGCGAAAAGAACCCCGGCGAGGGGAGUGAAAAAGAACCUGAAACCGUGUACGUACAAGCAGUGGGAGCACCUUCGGGUGUGACUGCGUACCUUUUGUAUAAUGGGUCAGCGACUUAUAUUCUGUAGCAAGGUUAACCGUAUAGGGGAGCCGCAGGGAAACCGAGUCUUAACUGGGCGUUAAGUUGCAGGGUAUAGACCCGAAACCCGGUGAUCUAGCCAUGGGCAGGUUGAAGGUUGGGUAACACUAACUGGAGGACCGAACCGACUAAUGUUGAAAAAUUAGCGGAUGACUUGUGGCUGGGGGUGAAAGGCCAAUCAAACCGGGAGAUAGCUGGUUCUCCCCGAAAGCUAUUUAGGUAGCGCCUCGUGAACUCAUCUUCGGGGGUAGAGCACUGUUUCGGCUAGGGGGUCAUCCCGACUUACCAACCCGAUGCAAACUACGAAUACCGAAGAAUGUUAUCACGGGAGACACACGGCGGGUGCUAACGUCCGUCGUGAAGAGGGAAACAACCCAGACCGCCAGCUAAGGUCCCAAAGUCAUGGUUAAGUGGGAAACGAUGUGGGAAGGCACAGACAGCCAGGAUGUUGGCUUAGAAGCAGCCAUCAUUUAAAGAAAGCGUAAUAGCUCACUGGUCGAGUCGGCCUGCGCGGAAGAUGUAACGGGGCUAAACCAUGCACCGAAGCUGCGGCAGCGACACUAUGUGUUGUUGGGUAGGGGAGCGUUCUGUAAGCCUGCGAAGGUGUGCUGUGAGGCAUGCUGGAGGUAUCAGAAGUGCGAAUGCUGACAUAAGUAACGAUAAAGCGGGUGAAAAGCCCGCUCGCCGGAAGACCAAGGGUUCCUGUCCAACGUUAAUCGGGGCAGGGUGAGUCGACCCCUAAGGCGAGGCCGAAAGGCGUAGUCGAUGGGAAACAGGUUAAUAUUCCUGUACUUGGUGUUACUGCGAAGGGGGGACGGAGAAGGCUAUGUUAGCCGGGCGACGGUUGUCCCGGUUUAAGCAUGUAGGCUGGUUAUCCAGGCAAAUCCGGAUAAUCAAGGCUGAGGUGUGAUGACGAGGCACUACGGUGCUGAAGUAACAAAUGCCCUGCUUCCAGGAAAAGCCUCUAAGCAUCAGGUAACAUCAAAUCGUACCCCAAACCGACACAGGUGGUCAGGUAGAGAAUACCAAGGCGCUUGAGAGAACUCGGGUGAAGGAACUAGGCAAAAUGGUGCCGUAACUUCGGGAGAAGGCACGCUGGUGUGUAGGUGAAGCCCCUGCGGGUGGAGCUGAGACCAGUCGAAGAUACCAGCUGGCUGCAACUGUUUAUUAAAAACACAGCACUGUGCAAACACGAAAGUGGACGUAUACGGUGUGACGCCUGCCCGGUGCCGGAAGGUUAAUUGAUGGGGUUAUCCGUAAGGAGAAGCUCUUGAUCGAAGCCCCGGUAAACGGCGGCCGUAACUAUAACGGUCCUAAGGUAGCGAAAUUCCUUGUCGGGUAAGUUCCGACCUGCACGAAUGGCGUAAUGAUGGCCAGGCUGUCUCCACCCGAGACUCAGUGAAAUUGAACUCGCUGUGAAGAUGCAGUGUACCCGCGGCAAGACGGAAAGACCCCGUGAACCUUUACUAUAGCUUGACACUGAACAUUGAGCCUUGAUGUGUAGGAUAGGUGGGAGGCUUUGAAGCGUGGACGCCAGUCUGCGUGGAGCCAACCUUGAAAUACCACCCUUUAAUGUUUGAUGUUCUAACGUUGGCCCCUGACCGGGGUUGCGGACAGUGUCUGGUGGGUAGUUUGACUGGGGCGGUCUCCUCCCAAAGCGUAACGGAGGAGCACGAAGGUUAGCUAAUCCUGGUCGGACAUCAGGAGGUUAGUGCAAUGGCAUAAGCUAGCUUGACUGCGAGCGUGACGGCGCGAGCAGGUGCGAAAGCAGGUCAUAGUGAUCCGGUGGUUCUGAAUGGAAGGGCCAUCGCUCAACGGAUAAAAGGUACUCCGGGGAUAACAGGCUGAUACCGCCCAAGAGUUCAUAUCGACGGCGGUGUUUGGCACCUCGAUGUCGGCUCAUCACAUCCUGGGGCUGAAGUAGGUCCCAAGGGUAUGGCUGUUCGCCAUUUAAAGUGGUACGCGAGCUGGGUUUAGAACGUCGUGAGACAGUUCGGUCCCUAUCUGCCGUGGGCGCUGGAGAAUUGAGGGGGGCUGCUCCUAGUACGAGAGGACCGGAGUGGACGCAUCACUGGUGUUCGGGUUGUCAUGCCAAUGGCACUGCCCGGUAGCUAAAUGCGGAAGAGAUAAGUGCUGAAAGCAUCUAAGCACGAAACUUGCCCCGAGAUGAGUUCUCCCUGAGACUUUAAGUCUCCUGAAGGAACGUUGAAGACGACGACGUUGAUAGGCCGGGUGUGUAAGCGCAGCGAUGCGUUGAGCUAACCGGUACUAAUGAACCGUGAGGCUUAACCUU